GGAAGCGUGCCUGAAAACUAAGGACCUCCUUGAUAGGGAGAACUAUAUGGGUCAAACCCCCAUCGCCUCCU
RNAcentral lists this transfer RNA (71 nucleotides) under Leptophryne borbonica (Java tree toad). RNAcentral describes it as "tRNA-Ile". The record is from RNAcentral. Lineage: Eukaryota; Metazoa; Chordata; Amphibia; Anura; Bufonidae.